AUUGAACGCUGGCGGCAGGCCUAACACAUGCAAGUCGAGCGGCAGCGGAAGGAGGCUUGCUUCCUUGCCGGCGAGCGGCGGACGGGUGAGUAAGGUAUGGGGAUCUGGCCGAAGGCGGGGGAUAACCACUGGAAACGGUGGCUAAUACCGCAUAAUCUCUAAGGAGCAAAGUGGGGGACCGUUCAGGCCUCACACCGUCGGAUGAACCCAUAUGAGAUUAGCUAGUAGGUGGGGUAAUGGCUCACCUAGGCGACGAUCUCUAGCUGGUCUGAGAGGAUGAUCAGCCACACUGGGACUGAGACACGGCCCAGACUCCUACGGGAGGCAGCAGUGGGGAAUAUUGCACAAUGGGCGCAAGCCUGAUGCAGCCAUGCCGCGUGUAUGAAGAAGGCCUUCGGGUUGUAAAGUACUUUCAGUCGUGAGGAAGGUGUUAAGGUUAAUAACCUUAGCAAUUGACGUUAGCGACAGAAGAAGCAUCGGCUAACUCCGUGCCAGCCGCCGCCGUAA
This 507-nucleotide ribosomal RNA is filed under the name uncultured bacterium. RNAcentral describes it as "partial 16S ribosomal RNA". It matches the Rfam family "Bacterial small subunit ribosomal RNA", at positions 30 to 523 of the family's 1533-position model. The record is from RNAcentral.